AAAGAAGAAGGGAGAAGCCUUUUCUCCUUGUUCUCUAUAGUCUGUAACCCUCCCUGUUCUCAGUAACUUAAGCACUAGCGACUUGGGGUUGGCGAAUGCCGACUUGGGGUUGGCGACUAACGAAAAGUCAUUUUCCUUUUCUCCUUGUUCUCAGCUAUUAGCGACUUAGGGUUGGCGAAUGCCGACUUAGGGUUGGCGACUGGCAAGAGAAGAGAUUGUGUGGAGAAAAAUCUAGGGUUUCUUUGAAAUUGUAGAACUACAAUGAGGAUUAUCACUACCUGCGGAUUUAGUUAAUCGAGAAACUAUGUGAGAACCCCUCCUGGAGAAGUGAAGUUAAAAGUGAUGAAACAAAUAGGAAAAGAAUGUCAGAUUGACUGAUACACUAUGAUAGGACAGAUGAGUGCAAAGAGUGAUGUUUAUAGCUUUGGAAUUGUCCUACUGGAACUCUUAACUGGGCGGAAGCUUGUUGAUCAUACUCUGUCGUGUGAGUAGCAGAGCCUUGUGACAUGGGCAACUCCAAAACUUAGUGAAGAUAAGGUGAAGCAAUUCGUUGCGCUAAGUUAAGUGGAGAAUAGCCUCCUAAGGCAGUUGCAAAGGUAAUGGUAACUUCGACUGAAAAUAAUACAUCAAAAUCGAGCUUUCUUGGUGGAAGAGCAAAGGAUUGUGAAGAAGGCUUUGAAGAUCUAGAAAGCAAAGGAAAAUCAAGCUUCAAGGAGCUAGAGAGAGGGAGGGUGAAAGAAAAUUUUUUUGGAUUUUGAGAAAUGAAUGAGAAACUGUAAAAGCUUCUUUCUUUGUAUUGAAUUCCCUACUUUUAUUGGGUUUGAAUUGAUAAAAUUACUUAUACAUAUGCACAGUAAUUUUACAA
Pistacia vera is the source of this 865-nucleotide long non-coding RNA. RefSeq lists it as uncharacterized. NCBI's taxonomy places the organism in Eukaryota, Viridiplantae, Streptophyta, Magnoliopsida, Sapindales, Anacardiaceae. The record is from RefSeq and is a predicted model, not a curated record. The transcript has 4 exons.